AGGCGUGUGUGACAGAGUGAAGUAACAAAGGAAGUGAAACUUCUUUACUCAGGGGCAGGGCACGUACGCACACACUCUCUCUCUCUCCCUCUCUCUCAGACACACACACAUUUAUUUAUUGUAGUAUUUAUUAUUUUUAUUGGACAGACAGUUACAGUCAAGACUUUCGGAGCAGAACCUGAGGAGACAGAAGGCAACCAGGGUACAAGUUUACAGGAUCAGCCGAGUUAAAGCAGCUGUAUUGUUCAGACACGGUGAGGGAGCACUACUGGAAUUUCAGCCUUCUCCUCCCUCAAGUCCUGACAAGUGUUUUAGAAAAUAAUGUCGACCUCAAACUAUGAACAAAGCAGCAGCGAGCCACUGAACAUGGACACAACAAGGGCAGCUGAUGUAGAGAAAGGUUCUGAUGAUCAACACCCCAGACAGACUGACUACAGGGAGCUGGCUGUCUGCAGCAUCAUAUGCGGCUUGUCCUGCUGCGGCAUUAUGUCUCUCAUUUACUCAGUUAAGACUCAAGAGGCCAAUAAGAGACGCGGCAGUGAAGCGAGACAAAAAGCCAAAGAAUAUUCAAAAAAAGCUUUAAAAUGGGGAGUUGGAGCCAUCUUGGUGUGGGUGCUUUUUGUUGCUAUCCUGCCACUGGUGCUGGUACUGCUGUCGUUCCUUUUCACAUUUAUAAACUGAAACAAGCGUCAAAAAAAGGACAACAUCUGAGGUGAAAAAUGCAGUGUCAUGGACGGAUCAUUUGGUUCAAAUGAUCAUUCACCCUCUCACUUCUGAGAUCUUCAACUUUCGUCUCUUCUCGUUAGGGGUCACCAUGUCUCUCCAUCUCCUCCUGUCCUCUGUAUCUCCUUCUGUCACACCAACCGUCCUCAUGCCCUCCUUCACCACAUCCAUAAAUCUCAUCUUCGGCCUUCGUCUUUUCCUUCUACCUGGAAACUCCACCUCAAGCAUUCUUUUCCCAAUAUAUUUUUGAGAUAUUGUAUGUAUAAUGAGAAAUUCAAACAGCGCAGCGUUUGGAUGCCUGAACAACACAAAAACAUAAAACACCUCUACCACCUAGUGGCAGAAAGAUAAUAAAAAUGCAACCUGGGGAAUCUUGGACGCCCAAGAAUGGUGAACCAACUCAAAAAAGGACUGAAAGUGACAAUGAAGGGCCCGAGCACCUCCAGUAUAUCAAAUCUGCCAUGAAUCCAACAAACUGCCUUGGAGGAGGAUGUCAAAAUGUAACACGUGUCAAAACUCGCAAAACUAAAAAUAACUCACUUCCUGUUCAGUAUGGCUAAUACAAUGUAUACUACAGUUUUGUUCGUCUUGGGGUACCCCACACACCUACCAAAUUUGACACAGAUAGGUGAAACUAUAUACCAGGCAAAAGUCUCAAGGACGUGUAGGGGCGCUAUGGAGUCCCCCGGAUACACCUGAGGGCAAACCUCUCUCUCUGAGUAGUGAUAGCCAGGACUGAUGAGUGUACCAAAUUUCAUGAGUUUUCACCCAUGGGAACCACCUCAAAAAUGGACAAGUCUUGAAGAAAAAGAAUACAUAAGAAUCCUUAGGAAAACAAUAGGGCCUUGCACCUCAGUGCGGCGCCCUCUGGUGGACACGGGAGACCGUGCAUCUCCAGUAGAAGAGAGACAAACCUGGAACAAAAUGCUAAACCAAGGAAAAAAUGGAGCCCCAGAAAUUCAGAGUAUAAAACCCUCACAAGACAUGGAGAUGUGAAAAACACCAAACCCCCAAACCAAAAGGCACAGAGAGCUGCAAGACGUCAAAAUUGAAAGACGUCACACAGAGGCAUGGAGGUCAAAAGAAAACGUUGUUACAUAUAGAAUGCAGCAUUUGAGCAGUUGUUCAUUUUGGCCAAAAAAACAAAACAAAACAAAAAAAAAAACAACCAACCAACGCCGGACCGUUACGAUGAACUUUGAAUCUUCUGAACUUGCUUUUUCAUUCCGAUGAAAUUCUAAAGGAUGCAUUAACUUUUCUCACCUGACAGACCAGUGAGCAUUAACCCAGUUCUGAUCGUUAUUGUUAGACACUAUUUUUUUUUAAUGAUGUAUGCAUUAUAGGAAGUGUGUUUAUUCAGAAUCGCUGAAGGAAUGAGAGCAAGGGUUAGGGGAAUGUUCCAUGAAUGAACAAAAAGGGUUUUUUUGUGUGUGUUAGUUAAUCUGUUAUGAAUUACAUCUAUAAAGUUUGACUCAAGGUCGUCUCAAACUGCAUACUCGUAUAUCACUGGAAAUAUAGUCACACUGAGAAAUAUACACAAGACGGCUUAAAGAGGAAGAAAAAAGUCUGGAUCUGAUUGUCAUGUACAAGUACAGUAUGUUCUAGUUUACAACACAGUAUAUACUUUUAAAAGGUGCUGACUGCAAAGUCAUCUGAAUUUUUUGUGUGUGCAUGGCAUUUUCCUCUGUCGCACAUGAACAAGAUCAUGUGGACGAGAUGUGAUCAUUUUGAUGAUUUCCUCCAUUUUGGGAUCAUUUUCUUCCCUCUUGAGGUAAACAGUGCAGCCGUACGGAAACAGCCGAACGCGAGGGAGGAGCUUUAACUAAUUUAGUAUAACUGUGGAACUGUGUCACACCAAGACGGCGACGCCACCAAGAAAACAUCGUGACUCUGCAUCGGCCUCAGACAGUUUUGAGUCACAGGGAUUUGUGUAAUUUGUGGUUGACGUUCGCGAAUAGAUCCGUGAAACAAAACACGACGAAUCUCUUUUCUUUGUUCCUGCUUUUGUGUUCGUUUCUUUCUCUGUAAGAUCAAAACAUUAGGUGUAGAACUCCAUACCAUAUCGCUACCGUGGACUCGAGCCCAUGCAUUCUAAGGCUGAGAUAGCUAAGCGCUAGCUAGAAUGAUUUAGUUAGCUGUCCAGAAAAAUGAGACAGUCAUCCAUCUAACCUUGCUCUAUCUUGCAGUUGCACUCACUAGGCAGGCUUUCCUUUUCUUAUCUGCUGGAGGGAGAGUCGAGUCCGCCAUGUUUGCCCACGCUGACUUGUUUUGGUUAAAAGUAGCUCAGACACGCCCCACGGUGGUCACGUGAUGCGAUAUCGUCUCACACUUGCUUCAGCGAUCUCCGGAGUCAUAAAACGCGGGACGCUUUUUAUCUCGGCAAAAUGUUCACACACAGGAUACACGGUGUGUGCGCGCACGCAGCAGCGAAACAUCUCGAAACUCCAACAGCAACAGAAAUAGAACAUUUUACCCAGAAUUCAACUUUGCAGUCAGAACCUUCAAGUAUUGUCACGGUAUGCAGUUUGAGACCGACCCGUGUUCUCCGUGCACAUGUUCCCACCCCCACUUUCCAACAAGAAGCACAAGCUUGUGUUAUGUUUGUUAUAACACUGUAUUAUUUGAGCUACUGUUGUACAUAUAGUUGUCAUUUUUGUAUUUUUAUACCAUGGACAUUAAAUAACAUAACAUACUUUCCAA
Long non-coding RNA from Neoarius graeffei (lesser salmon catfish), 3423 nucleotides. RefSeq lists it as uncharacterized. Lineage: Eukaryota; Metazoa; Chordata; Actinopteri; Siluriformes; Ariidae. The record is from RefSeq and is a predicted model, not a curated record. The transcript has 3 exons.